Molecule: non-coding RNA, 186 nt
Filed under: Gammaproteobacteria bacterium
Lineage: Bacteria; Pseudomonadati; Pseudomonadota; Gammaproteobacteria
Description: 6S RNA
Rfam family: 6S / SsrS RNA
About the family: E. coli 6S RNA was the first non coding RNA to be sequenced, but its function was unknown until recently.
Source: RNAcentral
AUGUCUCUGGGGUAUACGUUAGCAACCUGUUAUAUCCCUUGAGCCUUAACUACUGACUCUGGGAACAUAGCUGUCUGUACCGUGUGCAUUACCGCUUUGCGGGAAGCCUGACCUACAGACGCUGUUCCCACCUGAACCUACCGGUUCAAGGUCAGCAGUGUCAGCGACGGUAUUUUCGGAGACAUC